UACGUAGGGGGCAAGCGUUGUCCGGAAUUAUUGGGCGUAAAGAGCGUGUAGGCGGCCAGAUAAGUCCGCUGUGAAAUCUCGAGGCUCAACUUCGAGCUGUCGGUGGAAACUAUCUGGCUAGAGUCCGGAAGAGGAGAAUGGAAUUCCUGGUGUAGCGGUGAAAUGCGCAGAUAUCAGGAAGAACACCCGUGGCGAAGGCGGUUCUCUGGGACGGUACUGACGCUGAGACGCAAAAGCGUGGGGAGCGAACAGG
Molecule: ribosomal RNA, 253 nt
Filed under: uncultured bacterium
Lineage: Bacteria
Description: partial 16S ribosomal RNA
Rfam family: Bacterial small subunit ribosomal RNA
Source: RNAcentral